CUACGGGACGCAGCAGUGGGGAAUAUUGCACAAUGGGGGAAACCCUGAUGCAGCAACGCCGCGUGGAGGAUGACGCAUUUCGGUGUGUAAACUCCUUUUAUAUAGGAAGAUAAUGACGGUACUAUAUGAAUAAGCACCGGCUAACUCCGUGCCAGCAGCCGCGGUAAUACGGAGGGUGCAAGCGUUACUCGGAAUCACUGGGCGUAAAGCGCGCGCAGGCGGCCUUUUAAGUGGGAUGUGAAAGCCUAUGGCUUAACCAUAGAACUGCAUCCAAAACUAUCAGGCUAGAGGCUGGGAGGGGAAGGUGGAAUUAGUGGUGUAGGGGUAAAAUCCGUAGAGAUAACUAGGAAUACCAAAAGCGAAGGCGAUCUUCUGGAACAGUACUGACGCUGAGGCGCGAAAGCGUGGGGAGCAAACAGGAUUAGAUACCCCAGUAGUC
RNAcentral lists this ribosomal RNA (439 nucleotides) under uncultured bacterium. RNAcentral's name for it is "partial 16S ribosomal RNA". It matches the Rfam family "Bacterial small subunit ribosomal RNA", at positions 339 to 795 of the family's 1533-position model. The record is from RNAcentral.